This 753-nucleotide ribosomal RNA is filed under the name Triticum aestivum (bread wheat). RNAcentral describes it as "partial small subunit ribosomal RNA". The record is from RNAcentral. Lineage: Eukaryota; Viridiplantae; Streptophyta; Magnoliopsida; Poales; Poaceae.
AUGGCGACCGCCUACAACCUCAGGUCCCGCGACGAGCCGGACGACUUCGACGAGUUCGACUCCACGCCCUACGGCGGCGGCUACGACCUCUUCGCCACCUUCGGCCGCCCGCUCCCGCCCUCCGACGAGACCUGCUACCCCUGCUCCGCCCCCUCCACCUCCUACGACGCGCCCCACUACGCCGCCGAGGAGCCCUCCCCCUACGCCCACCACCAGAAGCCCCAGCCCGCCUACGGCUUCCGCCCCCAGAACGAGCAGCAGCAGCAGCCCUCCUACGGCCGCGAGGAUGACUCCGGCUACGGGUCCAAGCCGCAGGUGGAGCAGACCUACGGCGGAUCGGAGUACGGCUCUGGCUACGGAAGGAAGCCGCAGGUGGAGGAGAGCUAUGGGUCGGGGUACGGAAGCAGGCCGCAGGGAGGGGGAGAGGAGUAUGGUAGCGCUGGGUAUGGUGGGAGGAAGACUGAGGAGGAGGGCUAUGGUGGCUCUGGGUAUGGAUCUGGGAGGAAGGUGCAAGGGGAGGAUGAAGGUGCGUACGGCUCUGGUGGGUACCAGAAGCCCAAGCCGUAUGGAGAGGAGACCCAGGGUUCAUAUGGUGGUGGGUACGGCGGGGGAAACUAUGGCCGCAAGAAGCAGGAUGAUGACUCUGAUGACGAGAAGAAGAACCGUUACGCCAAGCGCGAUGACUCCGAUGAUGAGAAGAAGGAGCGUUACGAGAAGCACCACCACCACCGCCGCCACAACUACGACGACUAA